RNAcentral lists this long non-coding RNA (4113 nucleotides) under Podarcis lilfordi (Lilford's wall lizard). The record is from RNAcentral. Lineage: Eukaryota; Metazoa; Chordata; Lepidosauria; Squamata; Lacertidae.
CAAUUUUGCCACUGCAAUAACAACAUACUGCCAUUUCUGCCAGCUGGUCAGAACUAAUAUAGAGGCUAAUGAUGGGUUACUCCAAUAAUUGUAUUUCUGUGAAUGAAUGUGGAGAGCAUUUUCUGAGUUGGAUCUACAGAAUAAAACAUCAUUUUAUUACUGUCUUACUGUCCUCCAAAUCCCUUCCAAUAGUAUUUGCUUUCUUGAACUACCCUAGUGUCACCUUAACUUCUCCACCAUUAAUGCAUGACUGUACUGCAUCUUAUCUGCUAAUCUUCGCUUUCUCCCCUUGUCAACACUGAUUGACAGCCUUUGGUGCAGGAAAGGUAUCAUUCCUAAAUUGUUUAAGUGCUUAAUGUGCCAUUGAUCUUUUCACAGAAUGUGAACACAGUCCAAAGCUCCAUGGAGCUAAGGGUCCACGUGGAGAUCCAUGCAGUCUUACAAGCUGGUCUUCUUUAUUUUGUUGAACAUCCCAUAGCAUAGAAAAAAAGAUGGCAGUAGCUCAGUAGCAGAGCACAUGGUUUCCAUGCAAAACAGCCCAGGUCCAACCCAUGGGAAAGUAUUGUAUAUCCUUCUGGGAAAGACUUAUGGGAAAGACCCAGGAACACUGGUGGUCAGUGAUAAAAGUACUGAGUUGGAUAAAUCAUUGGUCUUCCUCUGUUUCCUGUGUUCCUAUGUAAUGAGUCUGGUUCUCAAGAGUACAUGCAUAUAGCAGAAUUGCCUGGAUGGUAGGCUCUGGAGGAAGAGCACAGCAGUCUCCUGCAGGCAGAAUCUGUUGUUCUGCUUUGACUCUGUAUGCUUUGCCCAUUCAGAAUCAGCAUGUGACUUUUUCAAGGCAUGGCGAGAAGCAUUAUCAGUUGCUAAUGUCUGUACCACAAGCUGCUGAGUUGCAGGAACUGGUACAAACCUAUACUUUGUGGGUGAUCAGAUAGCAUUUAAAAGACCUUAAAACAUUCUUAAUUCUAAAAUAUUAAAAAAGAUAUGGGUGCAUAUUUCAUUUUCUUAAUAUCUCCCAAAUGCAUUUUUAAAUGUUUGAUUUAGCAGUGAUACAAUGCAUUUUAACUAGUUGAAUAAGUAAGGAACAAAAGGAUGCUUUAAGUGCAAUUUGCAAAAUCGACAAAUGAUAUACUAGCUUACCUUUGGUUAUAUUUUAUUAGGAUUCACAUCCAUGGUAAUUGUUUUCUUUCCUCAUACACUAAGUAGUAGUUUGAAUAAAUAUAUAGCGUAUUAGAAAUGCCAUUAAGCAAAUGAUUCUUCAUGGAAUUGUUGAAUGAAAGAAUGAAAUGAAUUCUUUUCUAAACACAGCACAAAUUUCCCCAAUUAUUUUUGAACUGAUUGUUCUGUAUUGUAGCCCAGGGGAGUACAAACAUGCUAUUUGUAUGGGCUGCACUCUUAUUUCUUCAGUCUGAUUGAAUUAAAGACUAGAAUAAUAAUUUAAUCAUCUACUUCUGAAGGUGAUCCACUACGACAGUGCAAUGUUUAUAUCUAAAACAGUGCUUCUCUCUUCUGACUUGGUGUUUAAAGGGUUUGUGUAUGAUGCUGAUGCCGAUGCUGAUGCUGAUGCAUGCUUUGAUUAUUAAGUUUUCAGUGUCUGUCAUUUGUUUUGGAAACCAUCCAUCCUUGCGUAUUGUCAUGAGAUAUAGCUCAUCAAUUGAAUGGCCAUUUCUGUCUUUACAAGAAACAUGAAACGAGUCAAGAAAAUAGAGGUAGCUGGUUGGUGUGAGUGUUCCUGUUGGAAUGACUAUGCAAAUUGCUGCUGCUAUUUUGACAUGGAUGUUUUUCUGUCUAACUGUCCACCAAUGGUGUUUUGUCAGAGAUGGUGCUUCCAUGUUGUUAUGUUGGCAGGAGCAGUGAGAAGCUGCCAGAUUUCUCUGCUUCUCAGCCCUUGUCCUUUUCCAAGCAUAUCCAGAAGGCAACAGAAGCUUGUCCAUCUGUUCACACCUCACUCUUACAGUAGGAGAAGGGGGAAUCUGAUCUUUACAGCUCGAAUUUCAGAGCUGUGUACAGAACAGAAGCAUGACAGAUGACAAAGAAGGGAACACAGUGAGACCAAAGAUGGAUAGAUAUGCCAGAUGGGAAACUUGGAAAAGAAGACACUGUGGCACUUAGAUGAAUCAAAAAGGAGACAAUCCAAAAUCUCCUUCCGUUCUUGAAGAGGUGUAGUGAUCAUGAUCAAACCAAAGCCCCAAAGUUUGGAUACAUGCAGGAAGAGGAAGAAAUGAUAUGUCCUCCAGUAUUUUCAAGAAGGAAGAAAGCUAUUAUUCUAUAAGCAAAACUACUUUUCUGCAUGGAAGUUUACAGCAAGCUCAACCCAAAGUUACAAUGUUUGAUUUGGAAAGUUCUUUAAUCUCACAUAUGAAGAAAUUAGGUGUGAUUGCGCAGUGGAGAGGGAAAGGUCAUUUACUUUUCUUUUAUGUUUUCAUAAUACAAAAAUCAGGCUCUGGAGCUAAACUUGGUGAAUCCUGGCUCAUAUUGUCCUGGGAGCAUUUAUCUCCUACUAAAGGGGCUCUUCUGCUAGUCCACUCUUCAGAAACUGUUGAUUCCUAGACUAAGUGGACAUAAUGUGGUAGAAUAAAAUCUGUUUUAUAGGAUGAUAAUAUGCUUCAGAGUGUUUGGGGAGUCACUUUCAUGUAUCAGUCUACAGUAGAUCUAGAACUAGCCCAAGUUUUAAUUAUCUGAGUCGCUUCCAGAGUCCAGUAUUAGGCCUCAUACCCUGAAUCUCUCAUAACUUGCAUCAUCUGGAGCUCUUUAUUCCUUUGACUGCUUGUUGAGCUUAUGCAGACUCCUUUCCCUUCUUAAUGCAAUUAAUAGUUAUAGUCAGUGUUCAUGUAUUUAACAUUUGGAACCUGGGCGUCCAGGUCAGAGACUAAAGGUCUCAGACAUGUUUGCAUCCUGAUACUUUUUUGAAAAGGUAACUGCGCAUUAUCCACAAAAUGUGCCUAAUUGACAAAUUUUGCAUGCAUUCAAUUCUGAAGGAAUCUAUGUGUCUGCUAAAGAAUGACUUCCGCUAAAGAAAAAUAUUUGAACUUUAGAGAAAAACUGUGAAAAGUGUAGGUCCUGUGUUUGACCCACAGCAGGGUAUCAAAGAGCUUAAGUGGGUCAUCACAAACUUGUCUCGCUAAUUUUAAAAGAACUCAAGUGUGACAAAUUGAGUCUGGAUCCAAUCUAUAAUAUUGAGGAGGAGGAGGAGGAGGUGUGGUUAUGGACUUGCAGAGUUCAGUAGAAAUAAGAGUUGCAGUCCACAGAGCUCCUACAUGUAUACAGAAGAACUUGCCUUUUGGUAGACUGCUCCAGGUUUCAGCCAUAUAGGCAAAAGUAUCCUAGUCCAAUAUUCCAAUUUAAGUCAGGAUCCUCGCAUAUAAAUGCUUAAAGCACACAACCUACCUAUAUUAGCUUGAUAUAACCAUAUUUUUCAUUCAUUUGCCAUGAACUCAGUGCCAGGAAGCCACAGUUAAUUAUAGCCUACCAUUAUAUGCAUACUAGGAAAUUGUGGUUAAUAGUUAACCGUGCUUAACUGUAGCUUCCAAACAAUCCGGAAUAUGAAGCCAUGGUUUGAUGUUGGCCUGUGUGGAAGGCAGUAAUCAUAGUUCCAAAUUCACUUGUAACAGGAAACUAUGGUUAACUGUGGCUUUCUGGUUUGUGGAAAAGGUGCAAGGAGCUUGUGCAUAUCUUGGCUUCUUAAACCAGGAUUUGAUUGUGUGAACCAGGUCACUUUCUUUUCCCUGGUGCUGCUUCCUAUUUUGGCCUCAAAUGUGGAACAGGGCAUGUGGGAAUUCUCCCAUCUGGCUGUGCCCUACAGCAUCUUAUGUUUCUUUUGUGUUGUGUAAGACUGUUGUAUUAGUUCAUGAAAGGAACCAGGACUGAGUUAAUGUAAAAUAGAAGAGUGAAUGUAAGAAGACUGAAUGAACUUACUCCAGUGAAAAAACCUGUGGAACUAUGCUAGAACAUUUUGUUGGGGACAGUCUGCUGGAACAUGGGCGGAUCAAAGACAUUUUUCUCUCCAGUCUAUAUAGGAAGUGCAAUUAACACAGAGAGAGGUACUGUAUUAACAUUUACUCAAAAUGAAUGAAAUAUAUUUUACUUGAAUGAAUGCCUGUCUUGGUUGGUGUUUCC